UGGGGUGUAGCCAAGAGGUAAGGCAAGGGGUUUUGACCCCCUGAAGCGUUGGUUCGAUUCCAACCACUCCAGCCA
This 75-nucleotide transfer RNA is filed under the name Flavonifractor plautii. RNAcentral's name for it is "tRNA-Gln(ttg)". It matches the Rfam family "tRNA". Rfam says of the family: Transfer RNA (tRNA) molecules are approximately 80 nucleotides in length. Their secondary structure includes four short double-helical elements and three loops (D, anti-codon, and T loops). Further hydrogen bonds mediate the characteristic L-shaped molecular structure. tRNAs have two regions of fundamental functional importance: the anti-codon, which is responsible for specific mRNA codon recognition, and the 3' end, to which the tRNAs corresponding amino acid is attached (by aminoacyl-tRNA synthetases). tRNAs cope with the degeneracy of the genetic code in two manners: having more than one tRNA (with a specific anti-codon) for a particular amino acid; and 'wobble' base-pairing, i.e. permitting non-standard base-pairing at the 3rd anti-codon position. The record is from RNAcentral. Lineage: Bacteria; Bacillati; Bacillota; Clostridia; Eubacteriales; Oscillospiraceae.